CUGCUGUCUGGGUCCCCACAAGGGCUGCAGGACACGUGUCCACCCGCUCAGGACAAGAGGAAACAGGGCCCCUCGGAUGGCCUGGUGGAGGCUGAGAGCUGAGAGAUAGAUGCUCCCUGCAUCUUCCUGAGGCCAGGGACAAUGCUGCCUCUGAACUGUCUGCCGCUGAAGACCCUGCUGUCACAUAGGGUGCCUCCCAGAAUGUGAAAUAAAUUGUGAUUAUGCAUUA
Long non-coding RNA from Erinaceus europaeus (western European hedgehog), 229 nucleotides. RefSeq lists it as uncharacterized. The record is from RefSeq and is a predicted model, not a curated record. The transcript is spliced from 2 exons. Lineage: Eukaryota; Metazoa; Chordata; Mammalia; Eulipotyphla; Erinaceidae.